RNAcentral lists this RNase P RNA (434 nucleotides) under Methylobacterium oryzihabitans. RNAcentral's name for it is "Bacterial RNase P class A". It matches the Rfam family "Bacterial RNase P class A". From Rfam's summary of the family: Ribonuclease P (RNase P) is a ubiquitous endoribonuclease, found in archaea, bacteria and eukarya as well as chloroplasts and mitochondria. Its best characterised activity is the generation of mature 5'-ends of tRNAs by cleaving the 5'-leader elements of precursor-tRNAs. The record is from Rfam by way of RNAcentral. Lineage: Bacteria; Pseudomonadati; Pseudomonadota; Alphaproteobacteria; Hyphomicrobiales; Methylobacteriaceae.
UCAGCCGGCCGGGCGGCCGCUCCGGUCCUGUCAGCGGGUUCGCCCGCUGGCGGGCCGGGGAGGAAAGUCCGGGCUCCAUGGAGAUGCGGUGCCGGAUAACGUCCGGCGGGGGCGACCCCAGGGACAGUGCCACAGAGAGCAAACCGCCGUGGAUCGGCGCGAGCCGAUCCACGGUAAGGGUGAAAGGGUGCGGUAAGAGCGCACCGCGGACGCGGCAACGCGGACGGCACGGCAAACCCCACCGGGAGCAAAACCGAAUAGGGGCGACGCGCACGGGUUCGCCCGUGCAGGCCCGAUCUCCAGGCCAGUCGCCCGGGUUGGUUGCUCGAGGCGGCCGGCAACGGCCGUCCCAGAGGAAUGGCCGCCACGUCCGGGGGGAUCCUUGCGGAUUCCUCCGGGCCCUACAGAACCCGGCUUACAGGCCGGCUGAUCCC